AGCAGCCGCGGUAAUUCCAGCUCCAAUAGCGUAUAUUAAAGUUGUUGCAGUUAAAAGCUCGUAGUUGAAUUUUAGGCCUGGCCGGGCGGUCCGUCUUUGGCGAGUACUGUCUGUUGUCGGGUCUUCCUUCUGGUGAACCAAUAUGUCCUUUAUUGGGUGUGCUGGGGAGCCAGGACCAUUACCUUGAAAAAAUUAGAGUGUUUAAAGCAGGCUUUUGCUUGAAUAGAUUAGCAUGGAAUAAUAGAAUAGGACGUUGUGGUUCUAUUUUGUUGGUUUCUAGGACCACCGUAAUGAUUAAUAGGGAUAGUUGGGGGCAUUAGUAUUCAAUUGUCAGAGGUGAAAUUCUUGGAUUUAUUGAAGACUAACUAUUGCGAAAGCAUUUGCCAAGGAUGUUUUCAUUAAUCAAGAACGAAAGUUAGGGGAUCGAAGACGAUCAGAUACCGUCGUAGUCUUAACCAUAAACUAUGCCGACUAGGAAUCGGGCGACGUUAUUUUAAUGACUCGCUCGGCGCCUUAUGGG
This 520-nucleotide non-coding RNA is filed under the name uncultured Glomus. Its description in RNAcentral is "SSU rRNA". It matches the Rfam family "Eukaryotic small subunit ribosomal RNA", at positions 569 to 1094 of the family's 1831-position model. RNAcentral also lists the same sequence under 1 other name. The record is from RNAcentral. Lineage: Eukaryota; Fungi; Glomeromycota; Glomeromycetes; Glomerales; Glomeraceae.